CCUACGGGAGGCAGCAGUAGGGAAUCUUCCACAAUGGGCGAAAGCCUGAUGGAGCAACGCCGCGUGGGUGAAGAAGGUCUUCGGAUCGUAAAACCCUGUUGUUAGAGAAGAAAGUGCGUGAGAGUAACUGUUCACGUUUCGACGGUAUCUAACCAGAAAGCCACGGCUAACUACGUGCCAGCAGCCGCGGUAAUACGUAGGUGGCAAGCGUUAUCCGGAUUUAUUUGGCGUAAAGGGAACGCAGGCGGUCUUUUAAGUCUGAUGUGAACGCCGUCGGCUUAACCGGAGUAGUGCAUUGGAAACUGGGAGACUUGAGUGCAGAAGAGGAGAGUGGAACUCCAUGUGUAGCGGUGAAAUGCGUAGAUAUAUGGAAGAACACCAGUGGCGAAGGCGGCUCUCUGGUCUGUAACUGACGCUGAGGUUCGAAAGCGUGGGUAGCAAACAGGAUUAGAUACCCGGGUAGUC
RNAcentral lists this ribosomal RNA (465 nucleotides) under uncultured bacterium. RNAcentral's name for it is "partial 16S ribosomal RNA". It matches the Rfam family "Bacterial small subunit ribosomal RNA", at positions 338 to 795 of the family's 1533-position model. The record is from RNAcentral.